Molecule: ribosomal RNA, 492 nt
Filed under: uncultured bacterium
Lineage: Bacteria
Description: partial 16S ribosomal RNA
Rfam family: Bacterial small subunit ribosomal RNA
Source: RNAcentral
GAUGAACGCUAGCUACAGGCUUAACACAUGCAAGUCGAGGGGAAACGGCAUCGAAAGCUUGCUUUUGAUGGGCGUCGACCGGCGCACGGGUGAGUAACGCGUAUCCAACCUGCCCAUCACUUGGGAAUAACCUUGCGAAAGUAAGACUAAUGCCCAAUGACAUCCCACGAAGGCAUCCGAAUGGGAUUAAAGAUUUAUCGGUGAUGGAUGGGGAUGCGUCUGAUUAGCUUGUUGGCGGGGUGACGGCCCACCAAGGCAACGAUCAGGAGGGGUUCUGAGAGGUAGGUCCCCCACAUUGGAGCUGCGACACGGACCAAUCGCCUACGGGACGCAGCAGAGUGGUAUAGUAGUCAAUGGUCGAGAGCCUUGACCAGCCAAGUAGCGUGCGAGCUGACGGCCCUAUGAGUUGUAAACUGCUUUUAUAAGGGAAUAGAGUGGGUCACGUGUGACUUUUUGCAUGUACCUUAUGAAUAAGGACCGGCUAAUUCCGUG